GGAGAGGGGAGUGAAAUAGAACCUGAAACCGCAUACGUACAAGCAGUGGGAGCCCUUUUAGGGUGACUGCGUACCUUUUGUAUAAUGGGUCAGCGACUUACUUUCAGUGGCAAGCUUAAGCGUUUAGCGUAGGCGUAGGGAAACCGAGUCUUAAUAGGGCGUCCAGUCGCUGGUAGUAGACCCGAAACCGAGCGAUCUAUCCAUGGCCAGGUUGAAGGUGGGGUAACACCUACUGGAGGACCGAACCCACGUAUGUUGAAAAAUGCGGGGAUGAGCUGUGGAUCGGAGUGAAAGGCUAAUCAAGCUCGGAGAUAGCUGGUUCUCCUCGAAAUCUAUUUAGGUAGAGCCUCUAGUAUUACUCGCGGGGGUAGAGCACUGUUAUGGCUAGGGGGGCCUGACCGCCUUACCAACCCAUUGCAAACUCCGAAUACCGCGAAGUAUCAGCUAGGGAGACACACUAUGGGUGCUAACGUCCAUAGUGGAAAGGGAAACAACCCAGACCGCCAGCUAAGGUCCCAAAGUUACAGCUCAGUGGGAAACGAUGUGGGAAGGCAUAGACAGCUAGGAGGUUGGCUUAGAAGCAGCCAUCCUUUAAAGAAAGCGUAAUAGCUCACUAGUCGAGUCGGCCUGCGCGGAAGAUUUAACGGGGCUCAAGCUGUACACCGAAGCUGCGGAAUCGGACUUGUCCGAUUGGUAGAGGAGCGUUCUGUAAGCCUGUGAAGGUGAAUCGUAAGGUUUGCUGGAGGUAUCAGAAGUGCGAAUGCUGACAUAAGUAACGAUAAGACGGGUGAAAAACCCGUCCGCCGAAAAUCCAAGGUUUCCUGCGCAACGUUAAUCGGCGCAGGGUUAGUCGGCCCCUAAGGCGAGGCAGAGAUGCGUAGUCGAUGGGAAACAGGUUAAUAUUCCUGUACCACUAAUAAAUGCGAUGGGGUGACGGAGAAGGCUAGGCUAGAACACAGUUGGUGUGUAUCUAAGCGUUUAGGCAGAGAACUUAGGCAAAUCCGGGUUCUUAAUGCUGAGGCGUGAUGGCGAUUGUUCCACGGAACGAGAGUAGUCGAUGCCAUACUUCCAGGAAAAACCUCUAAGCUUCAGUUUAUUAGUGACCGUACUCUAAACGGACACACGUGGAUAGGAUGAGAAUUCCAAGGCGCUUGAGAGAACUUAGGUGAAGGAACUAGGCAAAAUAGCACCGUAACUUCGGGAGAAGGUGCGCCCCUGACGGUUCAUAGCUGUUGGGGGCCGCAGAGACCAGGUGGCUGCGACUGUUUAGCAAAAACACAGCACUCUGCUAACGCGAAAGCGGACGUAUAGGGUGUGACGCCUGCCCGGUGCCGGAAGGUUAAUUGAUGGGGUUAGCUUAUGCGAAGCUCUUGAUCGAAGCCCCGGUAAACGGCGGCCGUAACUAUAACGGUCCUAAGGUAGCGAAAUUCCUUGUCGGGUAAGUUCCGACCUGCACGAAUGGCGUAACGACGGCCACACUGUCUCCACCUAAGACUCAGUGAAAUUGAAUUCGCAGUUAAGAUGCUGCGUACCCGCGGCUAGACGGAAAGACCCCGUGCACCUUUACUACAGCUUUGCACUGAACAUUGGGCCUACUUGUGUAGGAUAGCUGGGAGGCUUUGAAACCGGGACGCUAGUCUCGGUGGAGCCAAUCUUGAAAUACCAGCCUGGUAGUUCUGAUGUUCUAACCAUGGCCCCUUAUCGGGGUUUGGGACAGUGUAUGGUGGGUAGUUUGACUGGGGCGGUCUCCUCCUAA
This 1756-nucleotide ribosomal RNA is filed under the name Leucothrix sargassi. RNAcentral's name for it is "Leucothrix sp. C3212 partial 23S ribosomal RNA". It matches the Rfam family "Bacterial large subunit ribosomal RNA", at positions 528 to 2293 of the family's 2925-position model. The record is from RNAcentral. Lineage: Bacteria; Pseudomonadati; Pseudomonadota; Gammaproteobacteria; Thiotrichales; Thiotrichaceae.